This 270-nucleotide ribosomal RNA is filed under the name uncultured bacterium. RNAcentral describes it as "partial 16S ribosomal RNA". It matches the Rfam family "Bacterial small subunit ribosomal RNA", at positions 88 to 354 of the family's 1533-position model. The record is from RNAcentral.
CCGGCGACCGGCGCACGGGUGAGUAACACGUAUGCAACCUGGCCGUGACAGAUGGAUAACCGGGAGAAAUCCCGCCUAAUACAGCAUGACGCCGGGAAGGGACAUCCCUUUCCGGCCAAAGGGGGCGACUCCGGUCACGGAUGGGCAUGCGGCGCAUUAGGUAGUUGGUGGGGCAACGGCCCACCUAACCGACGAUGCGUAGGGGUUCUGAGAGGAAGGUCCCCCACACUGGUACUGAGACACGGACCAGACUCCUACGGAAGGCAGCAG